RNAcentral lists this ribosomal RNA (253 nucleotides) under uncultured bacterium. RNAcentral describes it as "partial 16S ribosomal RNA". It matches the Rfam family "Bacterial small subunit ribosomal RNA", at positions 524 to 776 of the family's 1533-position model. The record is from RNAcentral.
UACGAAGGGUGCAAGCGUUGCUCGGAAUUAUUGGGCGUAAAGGGUAGGUAGGUGGUAAUAAAAGUCUGGGGUGAAAUCCCUGAGCUCAACUCAGGACGUGCCUUGGAAACUUUAUUACUAGAGUGCUGGAGAGGUUCGCAGAAUUCCCGGUGUAGCGGUGAAAUGCGUAGAGAUCGGGAGGAAUACCAGAGGCGAAGGCGGCGAACUGGACAGCAACUGACACUCAACUACGAAAGCGUGGGUAGCAAACAGG